Molecule: ribosomal RNA, 253 nt
Filed under: uncultured bacterium
Lineage: Bacteria
Description: partial 16S ribosomal RNA
Rfam family: Bacterial small subunit ribosomal RNA
Source: RNAcentral
UACGUAGGGUGCAAGCGUUGUCCGGAAUUAUUGGGCGUAAAGAGCUCGUAGGCGGCCUGUUGCGUCGGCUGUGAAAACCCGGGGCUCAACCCCGGGCCUGCAGUCGAUACGGGCAGGCUAGAGUCCGGUAGGGGAGACUGGAAUUCCUGGUGUAGCGGUGAAAUGCGCAGAUAUCAGGAAGAACACCUAUGGCGAAGGCAGCUCUCUGGGACGGUACUGACGCUGAGACGCGAAAGCGUGGGGAGCGAACAGG